GGUCAUGAGCGUCAGCGUGGAGCCCCGGCUUGCUGACCGGCAACCCUCCGCCGCGGUGGGGUGCCCCGGGUGAUGACCAGGUUUCUCGGCGGUCAGCCCCGUCGGGCGGCAAACGCGAGAA
Molecule: non-coding RNA, 121 nt
Filed under: Tsukamurella paurometabola
Lineage: Bacteria; Bacillati; Actinomycetota; Actinomycetes; Mycobacteriales; Tsukamurellaceae
Also listed under: 1 other name
Description: SAM-IV sequence
Rfam family: SAM (S-adenosyl methionine) riboswitch aptamer
About the family: SAM-IV is a mRNA element that regulates gene expression via direct sensing of S-adenosylmethionine (SAM or AdoMet). SAM-IV riboswitches share conserved nucleotide positions with the previously described SAM-I riboswitches sequence analysis and molecular recognition experiments suggest that SAM-I and SAM-IV riboswitches share similar ligand binding sites, but have different scaffolds.
Source: RNAcentral